Molecule: non-coding RNA, 842 nt
Organism: Heterocephalus glaber (naked mole-rat)
Lineage: Eukaryota; Metazoa; Chordata; Mammalia; Rodentia; Bathyergidae
Source: RefSeq, a predicted model, not a curated record
UAUAGGCACCUACUGAAAACUGAUAAGAGGUUAAGAUAGCUCUUGGUGUUGUGAUUAGAAGCACAAGAAAUUAAAACAAUUUAAAUCUUGGGUCGGGGAUUUAGCUCAGUGGCACUGUGCCUGCCUCACAAAUGCAAGGUCCUGAGUUCGAUACCCAGUACCAAAAAGAAAAAAAUUAAAUCUAACUUUAAAAUGCUGGAUUUUCAAUUAGAAUCAUAUCCCAGGAUGCCUCUGUACUAACUUGUAGCCCUUGUCAGUUCCUCUAGCUUUACUUCCAAGGGUUCCUACAAAUGUCUCUCUAGAUCUUUGAUACUCACUCAUUCAAAUAUCCUUUCAGCCAUUCCUGUACUUUGGAAUUGACAUGGAUCACCUAGGCCCACCUUGUUGUUGAGUGCCCUGAUUUAAAAAAAAAAAAAGAAAAGCUUUUAAGUUGUGCUGCUCUUUAAGGUAUGUCAAUGGGGUAAUCAGAUGAGCUAAUUUGGGGUUUGGUGUUAGAAUUUACAGCAGCAUUUCACUUUUUCUAAGGAUAUAGUAAGAAUUGCAGAGUGGAUACUUGGGAAAAGGUUAGAAGGUUUUUUUAGUGUUGUUUGUUUGUUUGUUCGUUUUUUAGCAUGAUCAACUCACAAACACAAAGCUUCAUCUCUCUUUGGUUUUAUCUUGUUUCUUAUUCUUUCUCAAAAUAGGCGGAGGUUCAUGUGUGUGGCUCCUGCAUCUCUACAAUGGUUUUCUAUAAAAAGAUGAUUUUAAUGAUAGGAUGGAAAGACUUUUAGAAGGCUCUUGCUAAAUUACCCAGGAGUGGAGGCUUGAGCUCAAAAUCCUACUGCCUCAGCCUGCCAGAGAAC